CUGCAGUUAGGUAAGCCGACACACACCUCCCUCAUGGGGGCUUAGUGUGCAGUGGCUGCAAAACAGAUUCCCUGGUUGUAUACGCAGCUCAUUCCUUUUAUGUGUUGUUCUAAGGGACCUUGGGGACAUCU
Myotis lucifugus (little brown bat) is the source of this 131-nucleotide small nucleolar RNA. Its record names the gene SNORA70. It matches the Rfam family "Small nucleolar RNA SNORA70". Rfam says of the family: snoRNA U70 seems to be exclusive to mammals and is a member of the H/ACA class of snoRNA which contain H (ANANNA) and ACA box motifs. H/ACA box snoRNAs are involved in the conversion of uridines to pseudouridines (5-ribosyluracil) a constituent of structural RNAs (transfer, ribosomal, small nuclear, and small nucleolar). NCBI's taxonomy places the organism in Eukaryota, Metazoa, Chordata, Mammalia, Chiroptera, Vespertilionidae. The record is from Ensembl.